RNAcentral lists this small RNA (30 nucleotides) under Bombyx mori (domestic silkworm). RNAcentral describes it as "ovarian small RNA-5443". The record is from RNAcentral. Lineage: Eukaryota; Metazoa; Arthropoda; Insecta; Lepidoptera; Bombycidae.
GGCAAUGAGUUGCGCCUCGAGGGCCGCCAG